This 496-nucleotide ribosomal RNA is filed under the name uncultured bacterium. RNAcentral describes it as "partial 16S ribosomal RNA". It matches the Rfam family "Bacterial small subunit ribosomal RNA", at positions 29 to 507 of the family's 1533-position model. The record is from RNAcentral.
AUGAACGCUGGCGGCGUGCCUAAUACAUGCCAGUCGAGCGCACAGACGAGGAGCUUGCUCCUCUGACGUUAGCGGCGGACGGGUGAGUAACACGUGGAUAACCUACCUAUAAGACUGGGAUAACUUCGGGAAACCGGAGCUAAUACCGGAUAAUAUAUUGAACCGCAUGGUUCAAUAGUGAAAGACGGUUUUGCUGUCACUUAUAGAUGGAUCCGCGCCGCAUUAGCUAGUUGGUAAGGUAACGGCUUACCAAGGCAACGAUGCGUAGCCGACCUGAGAGGGUGAUCGGCCACACUGGAACUGAGACACGGUCCAGACUCCUACGGGAGGCAGCAGUAGGGAAUCUUCCGCAAUGGGCGAAAGCCUGACGGAGCAACGCCGCGUGAGUGAUGAAGGUCUUCGGAUCGUAAAACUCUGUUAUUAGGGAAGAACAAAUGUGUAAGUAACUAUGCACGUCUUGACGGUACCUAAUCAGACAGCCACGGCUAACUACGUG